GACGAACGCUGGCGGCGUGCUUAACACAUGCAAGUCGAACGGUAAGGCCCUUCGGGGUACACGAGUGGCGAACGGGUGAGUAACACGUGGGUGAUCUGCCCUGCACUUCGGGAUAAGCCUGGGAAACUGGGUCUAAUACCGGAUAGGACCACUGCCUGCAUGGGUGGUGGUGGAAAGCUUUUGCGGUGUGGGAUGGGCCCGCGGCCUAUCAGCUUGUUGGUGGGGUGAUGGCCUACCAAGGCGACGACGGGUAGCCGGCCUGAGAGGGUGACCGGCCACAAUGGGACUGAGAUACGGCCCAGACUCCUACGGGAGGCAGCAGUGGGGAAUAUUGCACAAUGGGCGCAAGCCUGAUGCAGCGACGCCGCGUGAGGGAUGACGGCCUUCGGGUUGUAAACCUCUUUCAGCACCGACGAAGCGCAAGUGACGGUACCUACAGAAGAAGGACCGGCCAACUACGUGCCAGCCGCCGCCGUAA
This 478-nucleotide ribosomal RNA is filed under the name uncultured bacterium. Its description in RNAcentral is "partial 16S ribosomal RNA". It matches the Rfam family "Bacterial small subunit ribosomal RNA", at positions 28 to 523 of the family's 1533-position model. The record is from RNAcentral.